AGUGAACGCUGGCGGUAGGCCUAACACAUGCAAGUCGAACGGCAGCACAGGAGAGCUUGCUCUCUGGGUGGCGAGUGGCGGACGGGUGAGGAAUACAUCGGAAUCUACUCUGCCGUGGGGGAUAACGUAGGGAAACUUACGCUAAUACCGCAUACGACCUACGGGUGAAAGCAGGGGAUCUUCGGGCCUUGCGCGAUUGAAUGAGCCGAUGUCGGAUUAGCUAGUUGGCGGGGUAAAGGCCCACCAAGGCGACGAUCCGUAGCUGGUUUGAGAGGAUGAUCAGCCACACUGGAACUGAGACACGGUCCAGACUCCUACGGGAGGCAGCAGUGGGGAAUAUUGGACAAUGGGCGCAAGCCUGAUCCAGCCAUACCGCGUGGGUGAAGAAGGCCUUCGGGUUGUAAAGCCCUUUUGUUGGGAAAGAAAUCCAGCUGGCUAAUAACCGGUUGGGAUGACGGUACCCAAAGAAUAAGCACCGGCUAACUUCGUGCCAGCCGCCGCCGUAA
RNAcentral lists this ribosomal RNA (506 nucleotides) under uncultured bacterium. Its description in RNAcentral is "partial 16S ribosomal RNA". It matches the Rfam family "Bacterial small subunit ribosomal RNA", at positions 29 to 523 of the family's 1533-position model. The record is from RNAcentral.